AAGUUAAAUCCGGAUACGGGUACGGCCCGGAAACUCGUCUCCCCCUUUUUAAAUCUGAGGCUGCAAGCCAAACUAGGGUUUUAGAAGGCUGAAAGCGUUUCUUCAAGAAUCAUCCAUCAUACAAGACGACAAUGAUAUACGACGUCAAUUCUCCGUUGUUCCGUUCCUUCCUCAGCCAGAAGGGAGGCUCAUCUGAUAAACGGAAAACUGAGGAGCAAAGGCCUAAGGAACACAAGCCAAAAGCUAAUGAGAACAAGCCUGUUAUGAACGAGUAAUGUUUUUGUGAGGGAGGGUUUUUUUUUUUUUUUUAUUUGUAUUUCGUUCAUGGGGUAUGAUAGCAGCUGUUAUUCAGCUGUUAUGAAGUCGUCAACGUAUUUUGACUCUUGUUGUAUUGAUUUUGUUAUGUAACGUUGACGAACUUUACUGAAAAGUGUUGUGGGUUUUUUUUUUCCUGAAAGAGCGGGAAAGCAGGUAACGGUUUAUUUUAUGUAUGUUCUAUUGGAUUUAAAAUCUGAAUGAUAAUAGUUUCCCAAGCUUAAUCGAGCCUAAUGAUGAAACUUGGGCUCAAACUACUUCAAUAAACGAAUCUUCAUGUUAAAACUCAAAACUAUACUUGAGACUGUUUAGAACCCCGUCAAGUUUAAGUAGCUCAAAAAGUGUUUAUG
This 665-nucleotide long non-coding RNA is filed under the name Helianthus annuus (common sunflower). Lineage: Eukaryota; Viridiplantae; Streptophyta; Magnoliopsida; Asterales; Asteraceae. The record is from RNAcentral.